Molecule: non-coding RNA, 77 nt
Organism: Potamilus streckersoni
Lineage: Eukaryota; Metazoa; Mollusca; Bivalvia; Unionida; Unionidae
Source: the annotation of a GenBank genome assembly
GACCGCUCCGGUGGCCUAGUGGUUAGAGCGUCCACCUUUGAUGCGGGAAGUCGUGGGUUAGAUCACAAGCCGAGUCA